This 253-nucleotide ribosomal RNA is filed under the name uncultured bacterium. Its description in RNAcentral is "partial 16S ribosomal RNA". It matches the Rfam family "Bacterial small subunit ribosomal RNA", at positions 524 to 776 of the family's 1533-position model. The record is from RNAcentral.
UACGGGGGGGGCAAGCGUUGUUCGGAAUUACUGGGCGUAAAGGGCUCGUAGGCGGCCAACUAAGUCGGAUGUGAAAUCCCCAGGCUUAACCUGGGAACUGCAUCCGAUACUGGAUGGCUUGAAUUCGGGAGAGGGAUGCAGAAUUCCAGGUGUAGCGGUGAAAUGCGUAGAUAUCUGGAGGAACACCGAUGGCGAAGGCAGGUCUCUGGGCUGAAACUGACGCUCAUGCACGAAAGCGUGGGGAGCAAACAGG